RNAcentral lists this ribosomal RNA (806 nucleotides) under Staphylococcus sp. KSUM_17. RNAcentral's name for it is "bacterial SSU rRNA". It matches the Rfam family "Bacterial small subunit ribosomal RNA", at positions 26 to 817 of the family's 1533-position model. The record is from RNAcentral. Lineage: Bacteria; Bacillati; Bacillota; Bacilli; Caryophanales; Staphylococcaceae.
AGGAUGAACGCUGGCGGCGUGCCUAAUACAUGCAAGUCGAGCGAACAGACAAGGAGCUUGCUCCUUUGACGUUAGCGGCGGACGGGUGAGUAACACGUGGGUAACCUACCUAUAAGACUGGGAUAACUUCGGGAAACCGGAGCUAAUACCGGAUAAUAUUUCGAACCGCAUGGUUCGAUAGUGAAAGAUGGUUUUGCUAUCACUUAUAGAUGGACCCGCGCCGUAUUAGCUAGUUGGUAAGGUAACGGCUUACCAAGGCGACGAUACGUAGCCGACCUGAGAGGGUGAUCGGCCACACUGGAACUGAGACACGGUCCAGACUCCUACGGGAGGCAGCAGUAGGGAAUCUUCCGCAAUGGGCGAAAGCCUGACGGAGCAACGCCGCGUGAGUGAUGAAGGUCUUCGGAUCGUAAAACUCUGUUAUUAGGGAAGAACAUACGUGUAAGUAACUAUGCACGUCUUGACGGUACCUAAUCAGAAAGCCACGGCUAACUACGUGCCAGCAGCCGCGGUAAUACGUAGGUGGCAAGCGUUAUCCGGAAUUAUUGGGCGUAAAGCGCGCGUAGGCGGUUUAAGUCUGAUGUGAAAGCCCACGGCUCAACCGUGGAGGGUCAUUGGAAACUGGAAAACUUGAGUGCAGAAGAGGAAAGUGGAAUUCCAUGUGUAGCGGUGAAAUGCGCAGAGAUAUGGAGGAACACCAGUGGCGAAGGCGACUUUCUGGUCUGUAACUGACGCUGAUGUGCGAAAGCGUGGGGAUCAAACAGGAUUAGAUACCCUGGUAGUCCACGCCGUAAACGAUGAGUGCU